AUCUUCAUCUAUGUAUUUAUGACCGAAGAUUUUCCCAGCUCUCAGAACUUCCCCGUUCUGACACCCUGAAGGACAGUCCAGAGACGGUCACUCAGAUGCUUAUGGCUUACCUGUCACGCCUUUCAGCUAUCGCUGGCAACAAGAUCAACUGUGGGCCCGCCCUUACCUGGAUGGAGAUUGAUAAUAAGGGAAAUCACCUUUUGGUUCAUGAGGAGUCAUCCAUCAACACUCCUGCUGUCGGUGCUGCCCAUGUUAUCAAGAGGUACACUGCUCGGGCCCCUGACGAACUGACCUUAGAGGUGGGAGACAUUGUUUCUGUUAUUGACAUGCCCCCGAAAGUGUUAAGCACAUGGUGGAGAGGCAAGCAUGGAUUCCAGGUGGGACUCUUCCCUGGACACUGUGUUGAGUUAAUUAACCAAAAAGUUCCCCAGUCAGUGACCAACUCAGUGCCAAAACCAGUGUCUAAAAAGCACGGCAAGCUCAUUACGUUCUUACGAACAUUCAUGAAGUCUCGUCCAACAAAACAGAAGCUGAAGCAGCGGGGAAUCUUGAAAGAGAGGGUGUUUGGUUGUGACCUGGGGGAGCACCUUCUAAAUUCUGGUUUUGAAGUGCCGCAGGUUCUUCAAAGCUGCACAGCAUUCAUUGAGAGAUAUGGCAUCGUGGAUGGAAUCUAUCGCCUUUCUGGUGUUGCCUCCAAUAUCCAGAGACUACGCCAUGAAUUUGACUCUGAGCAUGUCCCCGACCUGACGAAAGAACCGUAUGUUCAGGACAUCCAUUCUGUGGGCUCCCUGUGUAAGCUGUACUUCCGGGAACUCCCAAACCCUCUGCUUACCUACCAGCUCUAUGAGAAAUUUUCUGAUGCAGUUUCAGCAGCAACAGAUGAAGAAAGGCUGAUAAAAAUCCACGAUGUCAUCCAGCAGCUCCCCCCACCACACUACAGGUCAGCCACAGUGGGUAAAUACCAGGCAGAGGUAGAAGUCGGUUGACCUAUAAACGUUUUUUUUUCCUUUGGUUUUCUAUUUAAACUUCCUUGGAGUUCUAAUUAAACUUCCAUUUCAUA
This 1060-nucleotide small RNA is filed under the name Pongo abelii (Sumatran orangutan). Its description in RNAcentral is "retained intron". The record is from RNAcentral. Lineage: Eukaryota; Metazoa; Chordata; Mammalia; Primates; Hominidae.